This 247-nucleotide ribosomal RNA is filed under the name uncultured bacterium. RNAcentral describes it as "partial 16S ribosomal RNA". It matches the Rfam family "Bacterial small subunit ribosomal RNA", at positions 523 to 769 of the family's 1533-position model. The record is from RNAcentral.
AUACGGAGGAUCCAAGCGUUAUCCGGAUUUAUUGGGUUUAAAGGGUCCGCAGGCGGUUUGAUAAGUCAGUAGUGAAAUCCAGGGGCUCAACCCCUGAUGUGCUACAGAUACUGUCAGGCUAGAGAAGCACUGGAGGCGGCGGAAUGUGACAAGUAGCGGUGAAAUGCAUAGAUAUGUCACAGAACACCGAUAGCGAAAGCAGCUGUCUAAGUGCUAUCUGACGCUGAUGGACGAAAGCGUGGGGAGC